GGGGCGAAAGACUAAUCGAACCAUCUAGUAGCUGGUUCCCUCCGAAGUUUCCCUCAGGAUAGCUGGCGCUCUCGCAAACCACCCACGCAGUUUU
Molecule: ribosomal RNA, 94 nt
Filed under: Capra hircus (goat)
Lineage: Eukaryota; Metazoa; Chordata; Mammalia; Artiodactyla; Bovidae
Description: partial 28S ribosomal RNA
Rfam family: Eukaryotic large subunit ribosomal RNA
Source: RNAcentral